Molecule: ribosomal RNA, 490 nt
Filed under: uncultured bacterium
Lineage: Bacteria
Description: partial 16S ribosomal RNA
Rfam family: Bacterial small subunit ribosomal RNA
Source: RNAcentral
AUUGAACGCUGGCGGCAUGCCUUACACAUGCAAGUCGAACGGCAGCAUGAUCUAGCUUGCUAGAUUGAUGGCGAGUGGCGAACGGGUGAGUAAUACAUCGGAACGUGCCCUGUAGUGGGGGAUAACUAGUCGAAAGAUUAUCUAAUACCGCAUACGACCUGAGGGUGAAAGUGGGGGACCGCAAGGCCUCAUGCUCUAGGAGCGGCCGAUGUCUGAUUAGCUAGUUGGUGAGGUAAAGGCUCACCAAGGCGACGAUCAGUAGCUGGCCUGAGAGGACGAUCAGCCACACUGGGACUGAGACACGGCCCAGACUCCUACGGGAGGCAGCAGUGGGGAAUUUUGGACAAUGGGCGAAAGCCUGAUCCAGCAAUGCCGCGUGUGUGAAGAAGGCCUUCGGGUUGUAAAGCACUUUUGUCCGGAAAGAAAUGGCUCUGGUUAAUACCUGGGGUCGAUGACGGUACCGGAAGAAUAAGGACCGGCUAACUACGUG